UGAUGAGGAAAUGAGGGAGUUGGCCUGC
RNAcentral lists this non-coding RNA (28 nucleotides) under Homo sapiens (human). Lineage: Eukaryota; Metazoa; Chordata; Mammalia; Primates; Hominidae. The record is from RNAcentral.